GAUGAACGCUAGCUACAGGCUUAACACAUGCAAGUCGAGGGGUAACGAGAGGAAAGCUUGCUUUCCUUGUCGACGACCGGCGCACGGGUGAGUAACGCGUAUCCAACCUGCCCCCAACUAAGGAAUAACCUUGCGAAAGUAAGACUAAUACCUUAUAAUUUCCUCAGAUGUCAUCUGACGAGGAAUAAAGAUUUAUCGGUUGUGGAUGGGGAUGCGUCUGAUUAGCUUGUUGGCGGGGUAACGGCCCACCAAGGCAACGAUCAGUAGGGGUUCUGAGAGGAAGGGCCCCCACAUUGGAACUUAGACACGGUCCAAACGCCUACGGGAGGCAGCAGUGAGGAAUAUUGGUCAAUGGGCGAAAGUCUGAACCAGCCAAGUAGCGUGCAGGAUGACGGCCCUAUGGGUUGUAAACUGCUUUUAUACAGGAAUAAAGUUAGCCACGUGUGGUUAUUUGUAGGUACUGUAUGAAUAAGGACCGGCUAAUUCCGUGCCAGCCGCCGCCGUAA
This 506-nucleotide ribosomal RNA is filed under the name uncultured bacterium. Its description in RNAcentral is "partial 16S ribosomal RNA". It matches the Rfam family "Bacterial small subunit ribosomal RNA", at positions 28 to 523 of the family's 1533-position model. The record is from RNAcentral.